Molecule: transfer RNA, 74 nt
Filed under: Micromonospora craterilacus
Lineage: Bacteria; Bacillati; Actinomycetota; Actinomycetes; Micromonosporales; Micromonosporaceae
Rfam family: tRNA
About the family: Transfer RNA (tRNA) molecules are approximately 80 nucleotides in length.
Source: Rfam by way of RNAcentral
GCGGUUGUAGCGCAGUCCGGUAGCGCGCCACGUUGCCAUCGUGGAGGUCGCGGGUUCGAAUCCCGCCAGCCGCU